AUUGAACGCUGGCGGCAGGCUUAACACAUGCAAGUCGAGCGGGGUGAUGGUGCUUGCACUAUCACUUAGCGGCGGACGGGUGAGUAAUGCUUAGGAAUCUGCCUAUUAGUGGGGGACAACAUCUCGAAAGGGAUGCUAAUACCACAUACGUCCUACGGGAGAAAGCAGGGGAUCACUUGUGACCUUGCGCUAAUAGAUGAGCCUAAGUCGGAUUAGCUAGUUGGUGGGGUAAAGGCCUACCAAGGCGACGAUCUGUAGCGGGGCCGGGAGGAUGAUCCGCCACACUGGGACUGAGACACGGCCCAGACUCCUACGGGAGGCAGCAGUGGGGAAUAUUGGACAAUGGGGGGAACCCUGAUCCAGCCAUGCCGCGUGUGUGAAGAAGGCCUUAUGGUUGUAAAGCACUUUAAGCGAGGAGGAGGCUCUUUUGGUUAAUACCCAAGAUGAGUGGACGUUACUCGCAGAAUAAGCACCGGCUAACUCUGUGCCAGCCGCCGCAGUAA
Molecule: ribosomal RNA, 503 nt
Filed under: uncultured bacterium
Lineage: Bacteria
Description: partial 16S ribosomal RNA
Rfam family: Bacterial small subunit ribosomal RNA
Source: RNAcentral